Molecule: non-coding RNA, 177 nt
Filed under: Alphaproteobacteria bacterium
Lineage: Bacteria; Pseudomonadati; Pseudomonadota; Alphaproteobacteria
Also listed under: 1 other name
Description: 6S RNA
Rfam family: 6S / SsrS RNA
About the family: E. coli 6S RNA was the first non coding RNA to be sequenced, but its function was unknown until recently. It consists of 184 nucleotides that fold into an extended hairpin structure with a large single-stranded internal bulge. The 6S RNA specifically associates with RNA polymerase holoenzyme containing the sigma70 specificity factor.
Source: RNAcentral
AUCCCCCUGCGGUGUUCGAUAGGACAGACUUCCUUCUGAGCCGAUAACUUACGAGCCCAGGGGACCUGCGCUGUCCGUGGAGCGUCCGCCCUUUUGGCAGACCGGAAGCGGUUAUCAGGACCCCACCUUACACUGAGGGUUCAGAGGAGCACGUUUAACGGCACAUGUGGGGGGAUU